Molecule: ribosomal RNA, 436 nt
Filed under: uncultured bacterium
Lineage: Bacteria
Description: partial 16S ribosomal RNA
Rfam family: Bacterial small subunit ribosomal RNA
Source: RNAcentral
AACGAACGCUGGCGGCAUGCCUAACACAUGCAAGUCGAACGAUGGUCUUCGGAUCAUAGUGGCGCACGGGUGCGUAACGCGUGGGAAUCUGCCCUUGGGUUCGGAAUAACAGUUGGAAACGACUGAUAAUACCGGAUGAUGUCGAUAAGACCAAAGAUUUAUCGCCCGAGGAUGAGCCCGCGUCGGAUUAGCUAGUUGGUGGGGUAAAGGCCUACCAAGGCGACGAUCCGUAGCUGGUCUGAGAGGAUGAUCAGCCACACUGGGACUGAGACACGGCCCAGACUCCUACGGGAGGCAGCAGUGGGGAAUAUUGGACAAUGGGCGCAAGCCUGAUCCAGCAAUGCCGCGUGAGUGAUGAAGGCCUUAGGGUUGUAAAGCUCUUUUACCCGGGAAGAUAAUGACUGUACCGGGAGAAUAAGCCCCGGCUAACUCCGUG